Molecule: transfer RNA, 71 nt
Filed under: Camelus ferus (Wild Bactrian camel)
Lineage: Eukaryota; Metazoa; Chordata; Mammalia; Artiodactyla; Camelidae
Rfam family: tRNA
About the family: Transfer RNA (tRNA) molecules are approximately 80 nucleotides in length.
Source: Rfam by way of RNAcentral
GAGGGUAUAACUCAGCAGUAGAGUGCUUGCUUAGCAUGCAUGAGGUCCUGGGUUCAGUCCCCUUACCUCCA